AUGGGAUCCCGCCGGAGUGACAAGCCCCCCAUGUCACCUCCGAUCCUGGCGGCGGAGCGCCAGCGUGAAAAGGAUCUGCGGGCGAAGGCGCUCGCCAAGGAUCAGGAGGUGUGCCAAGUGGUGGUGGGCAGCAACGAGACGGGUUUCAACCAGUACGGAUCCAACAUGACCAUGAGCCUCGACAUCGACAAGGGCGUCUCGGCGUCCUGCGACUCGGAGGGCCGCUCGACGCUGGUCUCCCCGGUGGUUGCGCUGGUGGACGCGUCAGGGGCUGUGGCAAGCCCUCCCAAGGUGGUGACCGGUAGUGGCAGCGGCGUGUUGAAGCUUCAGAAGAAGACGGCGGGCCGCAAACCACCUGUGGUGGCGCCAGCGGGCACCCCCGCGGUCCAUGCGAGCGUGCCGGUCCAGAGGCCGGUGGUGAUGGCACUGGCCUCUCCAGGGGGGCCGGCAGGGGACACCCCAUCGGUCAUCUCCCCCCCACCUCCGGACGCUCUUCGGAUGAGUGCUUGGGGGGUAUCUUAG
RNAcentral lists this ribosomal RNA (522 nucleotides) under Triticum aestivum (bread wheat). RNAcentral describes it as "partial small subunit ribosomal RNA". The record is from RNAcentral. Lineage: Eukaryota; Viridiplantae; Streptophyta; Magnoliopsida; Poales; Poaceae.